Populus euphratica (Euphrates poplar) is the source of this 2872-nucleotide RNA transcript. It is a transcript of the gene named protein prune homolog, with no coding region annotated. NCBI's taxonomy places the organism in Eukaryota, Viridiplantae, Streptophyta, Magnoliopsida, Malpighiales, Salicaceae. The transcript has 14 exons. The record is from RefSeq and is a predicted model, not a curated record.
UAGAGAAAGAAAAUGAUAGGUUAUAGAAUAAUAUAAAACUAUAUAUUCCAGGCAACUCAUCUAGCAGCUUAUAGACAUUUGAAACAACAAGAAGACUUUGGUUUUGCAGUUUUGGACAUUGCAAGAACUGCUGUAAUGGCGAUGUUAACGAGGAUUACCACUGUAUUGUCUAGGUUUGUCUGUUUUUCUCUAGGAAUUUGCCGUCUAGUAAAGCACUCGAAGCUACUACAACAUCACUUCACUGUGUCUCUUCUCUUCAGUCUCCAUUGCCAUCAUCACCAACAUGAGACCUCCCAAAGCAAAGCCUCAGGAUUCGUACAUUCGUGGCCGAGAGAAUCCAUACUUCGCUGGUCUGCUAAGAGGUAACGACACUGGCAGCCAGAAUAUUUCUCCGUCAACAUCAGACACUGGUGAUUUGAGAGGAACAAGUGUUUCAGAUAUUCCUGGAAAGUUUAAGGACUUGCCAGUAAAGGAUUCAGUCUCAGACAUUCUCGAACCCUUCGAGCAGACUACAUUUGGGACUUUGUUAAAAGUUCCUAGAUCAACAUCAUUCGAAUCCCAAAGUUCUCAAUCUGAUAUGAGUUUUGAUUUAGAUGGUUCAAAUCAUUUAGUGAAACAAUCCAGUCCUGGUACCUUUGAAACAACUGAAGAACACCAAGUUGUGCCUGUCCUACCAAGACCUAUGAUUGAAAAAUCAUUUGUUCUGAACAAAAGGAAAUCAAACCUGUCAAAUAUUCCACUUCCUCAGUCGGCCGCAACAUUUUAUAAUGGAUUUUCCCCACAAUUUGAGAUUUUGGAAUCAUGUGAAAGCACCAUGAAGCUAAAUUUAUACUUGAAAGCCAGAAAGGAUGAUGUGAGUGCUGGUGUUCCUGGAAAAUUCUUGCGUGCUGUAAUUGGUCAAGAUGUCUCAGACGUUGGAUCCAUCGCUUCGACCAUCAUGUAUGCUCUCUACUUGAAUGAGACAAUCAAAAGUGACCAGUUCUGCACUGUACCUAUCAUUAAUAUGAAGAGGACAGACCUAAGUUCUCAUGCAGAACUAAAAUGGUUGCUGGAUUCUUGUCAUAUUGAUGUGCCAUCCUUACUUUUCGUAGAUGAGAUUGAUCUGUCAUACUUUGAUCUGUUCGGGUGUCUCAAGCUAGUUCUAGUGAAUGGACACAAGCUCCCAGCAAGACAGGAGGCAUUAAAGGAAGCGGUCGUUGAAGUAUUCAAUUGCAGAAAGGAUGAAUCUGUGUAUCCUUGGGUUGAGACUGUUACUGUUGAUCAGGACUGCUCAUGCUGUAGCCUUAUUGCUGAAAAGUUAUUCCUGACUUCACCGGAGCUUUUGGCAGGGCAAAGAUUCAGUAAACUUUUGUUAGCUGGCAUCCUAAUGGAUACUGGAAACCUUACUAGUCCUCAUUGCACUACCAAAGACAAGUACAUGGCUACUUUGUUACUCAAUGGCGCUGGUCGCUUUGGAUCCAAUGGCCUUUAUCAAAUAAUGAGAUACAAAAUGUAUGAUAUCUCUGAUCUUAAAGUAGUUGACAUAUUGCGCAAGGAUUUUAAAAAGUGGACAAGAGGAGGUAAGCCAGGUCCUACUGGUUCAAGAUCAAUGGUGUCAAAUAUUGGGAUGAGUUCCAUUGGCAUAUCACUGGAGCAGUUUCUUGCUCAUGAACGUUCUUCGAAAGAAGAAAUCAAGAAUUUCCAGCAGUCGGAGAAGCUUCGGUUACUCAUGAUUGUAUCAGGAUAUUAUGAUGCUCAGAAGAACUUCAAGAGGGAGAUACUGGUCUCUGCUGAAUCUGUGGAGCUUAUGAGGAAUCUGCUAUCCUUCUUCAGUUCAAAUGCCUCCCAUCUGCCACUCAAAGCUAUGCAUGGACCAAGUCUCAGAGAUGACAUGAAGGCAUUUGAGAUUGACGAAGUUACCUCAAGAAAGACGAUCGAGCGUCUCUUGGAAGAAUUUGGUGGGGCAUCAAAAGGCUAACGUGGUUAGUGAACAAGAAGACAGCAAGAAUGCAGAUACAUAAUUGUCACUUCCAUGUGGAAAUACAUAAACAAACCAAUGGAGAAGCUUCUAAUAAAUUUAAAGAAAAGCAUCUGUCCAUGCCUGCAGAAUUCAAUAUGAAUUUCCCUUCUAAUGCAUGAUAAAUCAAGUCCUUAUAUUUUUGUUGGUUCCACUCUUCGAAUUCGAUAGAGCCUGUUUUCUCUUGCCAAUCUCACAUGCUUGUCACAGAUAUGAACCUGUUGUGAUAGAAUUGAAAUUAAGGAGACUUUUGCUGGCAAUGAUAUCUAUGUGGAUUGAAGCUGGCAGCAUAGAAAAAGAGGACGUAGCAGCAUUGAAAUUUUGCAGCAUGCUAGCAUCAGAAAAUGAUCUUUGCAACUUCUUUUGUGGGGACAUCGCCUGAGCAUAAUAUUCUUGGAGUCAACAUUCUUGGCUUCAUUACGCCAACCCAAAUUCAAAUCUUUAAAGUGAAAACCUCUGAAUUUUCUAGCAACCAACAACCAUGGUUUCAUUGUCAAUUGCAGCUGAAGAUCCUGAAUUUGUUUUUCCACAGCAUAAAUCUCAGUAAAUGGUGGGAAAAUGAUGAGAAGCAAGCAUUUCCAUGAUGUGGCAGAAUUCAAUUUGAAGUCAGAAGCAGAAGUGACAGGAUUAGGUUCUCUCACUUAUGAGUUCUGAAUUCUGAAGAGUUCUGAGUUCUGAGUCCGGAAGAAAUUCUGAGUUCUGACAAGAAUUAUCUAUCUUAGAUUAUGUCUUAGAUUAGGAUUAUUUUUAUUACUGUGGCAACUUUGUUUUUAAAACUCCAGUUAGAUUACAAUAUGAGACUAUAUAAAUAGCCAAGGUGUAUUGAACAUUCAUCAAGCAAUAAGCAAUAAGAAAAAUAUCGAACACCUUCAGAAA